UUAAGAUGAGAUUCUUGCUGUGAGAGGAUCUGUGUUGAGUAGGGUAGAAACUUGCUUAGUAGAAGGAAAAAGAAGGCAACUCAACAUUUCACACUUAAGUAAAAAGUCAGGGGUCCCCUAACUAAAAAUGGUUGAAGCUAGCAAUGGAGUCAUUGAAUUUCAGUGUCAGCUUUGAAUAUCAUGGAUCUUUGGGUCCAGCCCUGUAAUAUGGAGAAGGAAAUACUGGCUAUAGGGUAAGAAGCUGGACUAGGACUGAGCCCUAGAACUUUGCUUCCCAAAUCUGGGACUCAUUUAUAAGAUAACGGAAGGUCAUCCUUUCAAGAGAGAGGAUUACUUUAAAGCUAUUUGUUUGGAUACCUAUCUUUAAAAAAAUACAUUCUAUCCUUAGCAUUCCGUAAAAAUAAACAAAUCAAAUGAAAGCAUGCUGUCUAUCUACAACUACAAUAAAAAGAAUUUAAAAAAUACAUUUGCCAUAUCUCUUACUUGACCAACACUUUCUGCAACAUACCCUUAUGUUGGAUAUAUACUUACGAAGGGCAUAAUUGUAAACCUAGUUAUUAUGUAAUAUUAUGUAAUUCAGUGGCAUUGUCUGUAGCCAACUGGUUGG
RNAcentral lists this long non-coding RNA (607 nucleotides) under Marmota monax (woodchuck). The record is from RNAcentral. Lineage: Eukaryota; Metazoa; Chordata; Mammalia; Rodentia; Sciuridae.